Molecule: transfer RNA, 537 nt
Filed under: uncultured Prochlorococcus sp.
Lineage: Bacteria; Bacillati; Cyanobacteriota; Cyanophyceae; Synechococcales; Prochlorococcaceae
Description: partial 16S-23S ribosomal RNA intergenic spacer
Rfam family: tRNA (bases 208-280)
Source: RNAcentral
CAGGGAGACAACAAAAUGUUUAAUAUUAUUUUGUCACCUUAGGUCGAUCGGUAUCUCACGUUCUUAAUUUAUUAAGAAUCUCAUUUCCUAAGUUUUUCUAGGUCACACCCAUUAUUUUCCUGGGCCAUUAGCUCAGGUGGUUAGAGCGCACCCCUGAUAAGGGUGAGGUCCCUGGUUCAAGUCCAGGAUGGCCCAUAUCUCUAUGUUGGGGGUAUAGCUCAGUUGGUAGAGCGCCUGCUUUGCAAGCAGGAUGUCAGCGGUUCGAGUCCGCUUACCUCCACUGAUUACCACCUCUUCCAUAAUCUGUAGAAAGGAAAAUUUUUUGAGUUGUGAUCAUUAUUCUGAACGAAUCUAGCUUCCUAAUGAAGUCAUUAAGAUGCUGGACUCAUUGAAUUAAUUUCAUUGUUUUCAGAGAACCUUGACAACUGCAUAGAUUAUUUUAAAGACAAUAAGCAUCUUUAAUGAUGCAGAUUUAUUAUUUGUGCGAAUGCAUUAAUAACAAUUCUAUUAAGCUGAUGCUUCAAUUAUGAAGUUAUU